RNAcentral lists this ribosomal RNA (254 nucleotides) under uncultured bacterium. Its description in RNAcentral is "partial 16S ribosomal RNA". It matches the Rfam family "Bacterial small subunit ribosomal RNA", at positions 524 to 776 of the family's 1533-position model. The record is from RNAcentral.
UACGUAGGGUGCGAGCGUUGUCCGGAAUUAUUGGGCGUAAAGAGCUCGUAGGCGGUCUGUCGCGUCGAUCGUGAAAACUUGGGGCUUAACCCUGAGCUUGCGGUCGAUACGGGCAUGACUGGAGUUCGGCAGGGGAGACUGGAAUUCCUGGUGUAGCGGUGAAAUGCGCAGAUAUCAGGAGGAACACCGGUGGCGAAGGCGGGUCUCUGGGCAUUACCUGACGCUGAGGAGCGAAAGUGUGGGGAGCGAACAGG